GGCGCCGGCGGUGCUUCCGGCCAUGCUGCGCCGGGCGCGAUUGCAUCAUGGCGGGACGGAGAUAAGAAGCCCAGCUUAAGUCUCAGACUGCUGUAGUACAAUCUCCAAACUUUUGACACCUUUGCUAGUGAAUGUUAUCCUCUAGAAAAAAUGGUUCAACAAGUUCCAGAAAACAUAAAUUUUCCAAAUGAGGAAGAGAAGAUAUUGACGCUCUGGAAAAAUCUUAAUUGUUUCAAGGAAUGCCUGAAGCAAUCAAAGAACAGACCUAGGUUUAACUUCUACGAUGGCCCCCCGUUUGCCACAGGGCUCCCCCACUAUGGCCACAUUCUUGCAGGGACCAUCAAAGACAUCGUGACCAGAUUUGCUCAUCAGAGUGGUUUUCAUGUUGACAGAAGGUUUGGCUGGGAUUGCCAUGGCUUGCCUGUGGAAUAUGAGAUUGACAAGACUUUAGGCAUUAAAGGGCCAGAGGAUGUGGCAAAGAUGGGGAUUGAAGCUUACAACAAAGAGUGCAGAGGGAUUGUGAUGAGAUAUGCCAAGGAGUGGGAGUCUUUUCAUUGGAGAGUGCAGGGCAGCAGCUUGUAAUUUUGGAAGAACAGAAAUUCUCACAGAAAUACCCACAAGAGGUGUGGGUAAACCCUCAGUCUUCCCAGAGAAUAUUGGUGUCAGCUUUUCAUCCCAGGAGUACAGGGAGAGUGUUCCUGUCUGCAAGUUUGAAGAAUGGCUCUUCUACUUCAUCACACUCCUCUACAUGUUUCUAGUCUUGCUGUAUUUCUUUUCAUGGAAAUAGGAGUUUCUUACUUGAGUAUCACUUGCCUCUUGCCCUUGGGACCAUUUUGAAGUUACGGCCAGUGUCUGAAGAAACCAGAGGUGCCUUGGGUAGAGAAACUGUGGCCUAAACCUCAGUGAGUGGCUGGAUGAAAAGCAGACAGUUUUUUUUUUUCAAAUUGCACUCUGAAAUGUUGUAUUUCAAACCCAUCAUUGAUAAUUCU
Molecule: RNA transcript, 989 nt
Organism: Pyrgilauda ruficollis (rufous-necked snowfinch)
Lineage: Eukaryota; Metazoa; Chordata; Aves; Passeriformes; Passeridae
Gene name: isoleucine--tRNA ligase, cytoplasmic-like
Exons: 7
Source: RefSeq, a predicted model, not a curated record